This 555-nucleotide long non-coding RNA is filed under the name Pan troglodytes (chimpanzee). RNAcentral describes it as "long non-coding RNA NONPTRT007158". The record is from RNAcentral. Lineage: Eukaryota; Metazoa; Chordata; Mammalia; Primates; Hominidae.
GCCUGGACUUGAGCUAGUCACUUUAUUUUCUGAGCUUCAGUUUCCUCACUGGAUGAGUAGGAAAGUCAUGCCUGUCUGGCUUAACUAGAGGGCCUGUGGUGAGGCAUAAACUGGAGAAGAAAAUCAAACCAUUUGGUGAACUGUCAAGCUCAAUUUCCCUCUUUAAGGAAGAAAGGAAAGUGUUUUCCUGGAUACUAGAUAUGCUGAGUUGGGACAGGAGCUAAGGACAGAGGUGAGGAAACCUGCAGACAACAGCGACAUGCUCCUCAUCUUUGAGUCCCAGCGAACCUUUCCACUGUGUGUGUGUGUGCGUAUAUCUGUGUAUAAGUGGUGGUGGGACAGAGGGUGGGUGAGUAGGAUGGUGGGAUGUUGGGAUUGCUGAGUGGGAAUAGGCAGUGGGAAUGUCAAAAGUAUUUUUGUUGUUGUUGUUUGAAACAGGAUCUCACUCUGUUCCCCAGGCUGGAAUGCAGUUACUGAUCACCUGCAGGCUUGAACUCCAGGGUUCAAGCGAUCCUCCUACUUCAGCCUCCUGAGCAGCUAAGGACUACAGGUGUG